CAGCCGCCACGGGAAAACCAGCACCUCGAGUGGUCAGGAGGUUUAUUGGGCCUAAAGCAUCCGUAGCCGGUUGCAUAAGUUUUCGGUUAAAUCUAUGCGCUUAACGUAUAGGCCGCCGAAAAUACUGUGCAGCUAGGGAGUGGGAGAGGUACACGGUACUCGAUAGGAAGGGGUAAAAUCCUUUGAUCUAUUGAUGACCACCUGUGGCGAAGGCGGUGUACCAGAACACGUUCGACGGUGAGGGAUGAAAGCUGGGGGAGCAAACCGGAUUAGAUACCCGGGUAGUCCCUGUCUCUUAUAC
This 301-nucleotide ribosomal RNA is filed under the name uncultured bacterium. Its description in RNAcentral is "partial 16S ribosomal RNA". It matches the Rfam family "Archaeal small subunit ribosomal RNA", at positions 459 to 760 of the family's 1478-position model. The record is from RNAcentral.